GCCCCGUAAUCGGAAUGAGUACACUUUAAAUCCUUUAACAAGGAUCCAUUGGAGGGCAAGUCUGGUGCCAGCAGCCGCGGUAAUUCCAGCUCCAAUAGCGUAUAUUAAAGUUGUUGCGGUUAAAAAGCUCGUAGUUGGUUCUGCGUGCCGCGCUGUCGGUUCGCCGCCUGUCGGUGUAACUGGCAUGUUCGCGGCAUGUCCUGUCGGUGGUGAACAGGGUCCACGAUGCUGCAUUAGGCUUUUAAAGGCCGAUGUUAGCGUCGUGUGUACUUUUGUUGGCCGAUCUCUCCUACUUCGGUGCUCUUAAACGAGUGUCGAGGUAGGCCGACACGUUCACUUUGAACAAAUUAGAGUGCUUAAAGCAGGCUGAAAUAUCUGCCUGAAUAGUGGUGCAUGGAAUGAUAAAACAGGACCUCGGUUCUAUUUUGUUGGUUUUAGGAAUAUGAGGUAAUGAUCAAUGUGGACUGGCGGGGGCAUUCGUAUUGCGACGUUAGAGGUGAAAUUCUUGGAUCGUCGCAAGACGCACUAGAGCGAAAGCAUUUGCCAAGUAUGUCUUAAUUGAUCAAGAACGAAAGUUAGAGGUUCGAAGGCGAUUAGAUACCGCCCUAGUUCUAACCAUAAACGAUGCCAGCCAGCGAUCCGCCGAUGUUCCUUUAAUGACUCGGCGGGGAGCUUCCACCCGGGAAACCAAAGCUUUUGGGUUCCGGGGGAAGUAUGGUUGCAAAGCUGAAACUUAAAGGA
This 741-nucleotide ribosomal RNA is filed under the name Rhodnius prolixus. Its description in RNAcentral is "SSU rRNA". It matches the Rfam family "Eukaryotic small subunit ribosomal RNA", at positions 500 to 1151 of the family's 1831-position model. Lineage: Eukaryota; Metazoa; Arthropoda; Insecta; Hemiptera; Reduviidae. The record is from RNAcentral.